GGGGUAUAGCUCAGUUGGUGGAGCGCCUGCUUUGCGGCCAGGAUGUCAGCGGUUCGAGGCCGCUUACCUCC
Molecule: transfer RNA, 71 nt
Filed under: uncultured Prochlorococcus sp.
Lineage: Bacteria; Bacillati; Cyanobacteriota; Cyanophyceae; Synechococcales; Prochlorococcaceae
Description: tRNA-Ala
Rfam family: tRNA
About the family: Transfer RNA (tRNA) molecules are approximately 80 nucleotides in length. Their secondary structure includes four short double-helical elements and three loops (D, anti-codon, and T loops).
Source: RNAcentral